This 4161-nucleotide long non-coding RNA is filed under the name Nasonia vitripennis (jewel wasp). Its description in RNAcentral is "uncharacterized LOC116416299". Lineage: Eukaryota; Metazoa; Arthropoda; Insecta; Hymenoptera; Pteromalidae. The record is from RNAcentral.
UUUGCUUCUUCAUCGAGAAGUAAUUCUAGUGUAUGAUCGUUCUCUUGUAGUAUAGCUGUCUCUAUAGCAUACCUUGCAUCACGAGAGCAAGUGUUUACAGGUAUACCUUCAUCCAAUAACAAUUGUAUAUUUUCCAGAGAAUCUAUAUAAGUAGCACUCGCAGCUCUUUCCAAUAACCAAUGUUAAGAACUAAUUAGCAUUUUCAAUUUCUUAGCAUGCUUAAUGAGUAACAAGAAGAUCUCUGUGGGUCCGUUGGCAGCUUGUCCCACGUGAUUAAAUUUUUGUAUACUUGCUCCUGCAUUUAAUAGGAUCUCCACCGCUUCUCGAUCCCAUCUUGCUAUAGCAUCUCCUAAUACAGUGCUACCCAUUCGGUUGGAACUAUCAGCAGAGAUAUCUUCUUUGAGUAAUAGUGAUAGGAAUCUUUUAUCUUUAAGCCUGUCGCAGUGAAGGUAAUUAUAUACUAUGUAGUUGUCAAGAGUUGCUCCUAAUUUAAAUAAUUUUUCUAAAAUGUCUAGACGCUUUGCUAUUAGUGUAGAAUGAAUAGCAGGGAUGGCAGUCUUCUAAUGUAGUAUAAUCUACUUUGUAUUCUAACAAUAAAUUUAUCAUUUCCUCGUAUCCCUUGUUUAUAGCGUGGGUAAGAGCACUAGUUAAACAUAAUGUGGAUUUGUGCGGAUAUACCUCCAAACAAAGCCUGACAGGUUCUAGAUCCGAAGAUCCCACGAGUUCUUUGAUUAUUUCCCUCAUCUCUGAAGCUCUUAUCAUCGGAGCCAAUAAUCGAAUUAAAAUUUUUGCUUUUCUAUUUUCUUGACGAAUUAUUUUAGUCAUCAUGAUAGUUAAUUUCCGUCGAUCUCGAGAGAAGAUGAAUGGAAUCCACGUAUGUGCCAAACAUUCCCAAACUGCUGCCAUCUGUGGGAUAGAAAGAGUCUAGGUGUCAGACUUAUUACUAACUUAUGAGGUGUUUAUCAAUUCUUAUUUAUAUAAACGUAUAUCUAUUAUCGCCGAUUAGUCUAGACGUUCUUGUAGUCUCUCUUCGUGUUCUUUUCAUAUUAUCCUUUUAUUAAUAAUUUGGUGUAUAGCUUGCAUGAUCUGAGAGCCGUAUAUCGGAAAUUGAUAAGGAUAAAUUUCUGCUUCACGGUUUUGGAAUGCACAUGAUUUAGCAAUAUAUAAAAAGGAGUUCGUAGGUUGCUCUAUCAAUUGUUUAAAAGUGACUCCUGUGAUAAAAUUUUGCCUUGAGAUUUGUUGCCAUUCGAGACAUGCUUUUUCGUAUUUAUCAUAUAAUUUCGAGUAGCAUUCUUUUAACGUUAGUUCAUCUUCUAUAUUAAUGUUUUGAUUCUCUACCUUUCCUCUUGCUAAUAAUGAAAUAAAAAUCUUCGGUUUGUUUCAUGGCAAAAGUUCGGUUAAUAUAAAGUAAACGUUUCUCCCGAUAGGGUAAAGCGAAGCCCCUCGCUGUAGCAAUACUUCGAUUUUCCGACAGCAGUCUAUCUUAAAUGCUCAGGUUAAAGCAGUUUCACCGAAAGAUGAUACUUCGUCUAUAUCACAUUCUCCUGUAUCUAGGAUCAUUUCGACUGCUUGGAUCGUACCGAAUCUUACUGCUAUGUGCAAGGCAUUUUCUCCCUUGCUUGACGUGGUUUUUAAAUUGGCUUUAUGCUCGAUUAAUAAUUUUAGUACUUCAUUAUUAUGAUGUAUGAUAGCGGCUACUACAGGACAUCUUUUAUUUCGCGACAAUGAAUUUACAUUAAAUCCCCUUUUUAGUAGUAAUUCAACGUUCUUUGCAGCGUGAGGAUGUUGAGCGGUAACCGCUUUUUCGAGUAGAUAUUCAGUUAUGCAAGAUUCACGCUGAGUCUUUUGUGCAUGAUUUAAUAAUAAUUCUAAUAUUUCGGGCUUGGUUCUAGUGGCUCUUUCUAAGGGUGUUUGAUCGAAAUGAUUUAUUAUAUUUGAUGCGGCGUUAGCUUCCAAUAGUAAUUGAAUAAUCGGUAUAUCGCCCCAAUCAACAGCGUGCAUUAAUGCCGUUGACCCAAAGGUAUUUUUUGCAUUAACGAUUAUGCCGGCUUUUAAUAAUAGACGUAAAUAAUCUAAACUUUCACAUUCCAUGGCCCUUUCUAGAAGCUCAUGUCCUUCGUACAUCAAUAGAUAUUUACACGCCCCCAAAUUUUAUUAAUUGAGUAAGAAUAUCGAUACGUCUGUACAAAAUGGCUACUCUGGUCAUUGACCCUUGUUCCUUUUCGCAACGUAUCGACCAAUCUAUCGGAAGUUGUAAUAUUCUUUUAAUAAUUUCUUCGUGAUGAUCUUGAAUGGCUAAUGUUAAAACCAUGUCUAGGCUGGUUUCUUGGAGUCUAGGAUAUGAUUUUAAACAGGCUUUUAUGAUGAAUGGUUUAUCAUUCAAUAGCGCUUGCCGCAUAAUACUGGUCACUUCCACCGGUUGCAGAACUAGGGACCAUUUGUAAAUCAGAUCUCGUGCUUCGCGUUCGCAUCCAUGUUCUAGUUUUAUCUUAAGGUCUUGUACUUUUUCGCAUCAAUUAGGUGUUACUCUUAACAGUACUUUGUUGAUCCAUCUCCAAAAAUAUACAGCCAUCAUCGAAACUGCGAGACAAUGAGGAAUAACGAAUCACUAUUUUGUUCCUGACUCAAUCGGAUUAAUACUUCUCUCAAGAUUUUAUGAUUAAUUAUAACUGAUACUGAGGUAGUUUAUGCAAGAGGAAAAGAUUUUCUUUUCCGAUGUAGUGAGUUUUCUUUGUUUUUAAAUUGCAAAUGGAAAUUAAAUUUCGUAAGGCCUCUAAUCUUUCCGUGUGUUGUUGAUCUCCUUUCUCAUUGUUUUCAAUUUUAUAUUAAGGUUUUCUUUAUGAUUCUGAUUCAAUUGCUUUACUAUUUUCAAUUUUUCCCGCUCGCCAGGUAGUCUACAACCCAUGCGUGAGUUUAAUUUCGUUAUAACGAGUAUAUUCUUUAUCCGAUAAAAUUUUCAAUUAAACUUAUUAAUUCUUAAAUUUGUUUAUUAUUGGUUUGGUCUCUAUGUAUGCUCGUAGUACUACUUGAAGUCCCUUCUUUGGAUGGAGAGUGGUUUGUCUCUGUUUUCCAUCCUUCUAAUUCCACUUCUCUUGACGUCUAGAAAAUUUCUUUUUCUCGACAUGGCGUGGGUGUAUUUUGUUUUCUAUGAUCAGUCGGUUAUCAUGCUUCGAACGGUUCAGUUUUUUCAAUAUUUUGAGUCUGUUCAUCACUGUCGAUUUUAUAAUACAAUUGUGCGAUAUUUGGUCUUACUGAUUUAUAAAAUAAUGUUUACGCGUGUUGUGCUAGCGUCCAAUGAUUCGAUCUAAGUGAAAUAAUUGAAUUUAGUGAAAAAUAUAGUGAUUUGCUUGCAAUCGACGUGUGAAACAAAGGCCAUGACUUCACGUGAAUCCCAGUGUCCUUACAAUUUUUGCAUCGAAUCCAGAACGAAGGAAGGCUUUCCGACUUACGAGGAGGAAUUAGUAAGUUUCUUAAAUUUUUAAUUAUAUAAAUAGAGAAAUUUUUUUUUUUUAACUCUUGGUUUUCCUUAUACGGCAAAUUUCCCUCUUCCUUUUCUUAGAUUUCGCCCAGGAUUCCUUGUAUAGCAAGUAAGCAACCCACUCGGUGUUAUCGGCCUUAUCCAGGGAUUGAUAUGCUUUGUGUGGUAUAUCACCGAACUCAAUCGGAGGCAAUACAGUGAGAGUUUAUCCCACUCACUCAGAAAAUAAGUAUUCUUAUCCUAUAUGCGUACCGUCGGACGGUUGUUCCCCCUUUGGCUUGGUACCAAAUCUUUGGGUUCCAUGCCAUAUACCCUGUAUCGACUGCCCAAAUAAAAGACACGGAAAUUGCGAUAUUCGUGGUUUAGUUAUGGAUCAGACCUUUGAGAAAAUCAGAUGGGAGAAUUUUGGCCGCUGGAUUCCACGUUUUGAGCUUGUAGAGCAGCCAUACUUCUUUCGAGAUAAUCUCGUACAAUAGCGCCGUAGACAAUUGGCCUCGGGUUCUUUCGUUGCUGCCAGAUGGGAUAGAUCUCGCCUGCAUGAUGCUGAAAAAUGUUGUUCUCUGUCUGUGCGCUUUAUGGUUUUAAUAUAUAUUAGUGCAAUUGCGGCACGCGAUAUAUUGUAAUUCAAUUUCACUAUACUCCAAUAUAAUUAUCAUUAAAUAAUAUUGGAACUUUUCUUCAUA